Tinamus guttatus (white-throated tinamou) is the source of this 132-nucleotide non-coding RNA. The record is from RefSeq and is a predicted model, not a curated record. NCBI's taxonomy places the organism in Eukaryota, Metazoa, Chordata, Aves, Tinamiformes, Tinamidae.
CUUGCAGGGAAGCUACCCAGUGUGGGAAGAUUUUAUAAAUAAAGCUGGGAAGUUGCAGUCUCAGCUUCGGACUACAGUAGUAGCAGCUGCUGCCUUUUUGGAUGCCUUUCAGAAAGUGGCUGACAUGGCUAC